RNAcentral lists this ribosomal RNA (492 nucleotides) under uncultured bacterium. RNAcentral describes it as "partial 16S ribosomal RNA". It matches the Rfam family "Bacterial small subunit ribosomal RNA", at positions 29 to 507 of the family's 1533-position model. The record is from RNAcentral.
AGUGAACGCUGGCGGUAGGCCUAACACAUGCAAGUCGAACGGCAGCACAGUAAGAGCUUGCUCUUACGGGUGGCGAGUGGCGGACGGGUGAGGAAUACAUCGGAAUCUACUUUUUCGUGGGGGAUAACGUAGGGAAACUUACGCUAAUACCGCAUACGACCUACGGGUGAAAGCAGGGGAUCUUCGGACCUUGCGCGAUUGAAUGAGCCGAUGUCGGAUUAGCUAGUUGGCGGGGUAAAGGCCCACCAAGGCGACGAUCCGUAGCUGGUCUGAGAGGAUGAUCAGCAACACGGGAACUGAGACACGGUCCAGACGCCUACGAGAGGCAGCAGUGGGGAAUAGUGGACAAUGGGCGCAAGCCUGAUCCAGCCAUCCCGCGUGGGUGAAGAAGGCCUUCGGGUUGUAAAGCCCUUUUGUUGGGAAAGAAAAGCAGCAGGUUAAUACCCCGCUGUUCUGACGGUACCCAAAGAAGAAGCACCGGCUAACUUCGUG